Lupinus albus (white lupine) is the source of this 400-nucleotide non-coding RNA. NCBI's taxonomy places the organism in Eukaryota, Viridiplantae, Streptophyta, Magnoliopsida, Fabales, Fabaceae. The record is from the annotation of a GenBank genome assembly.
CCUACUGUUAGCCCCAUUUACACGAUCAAAAUGAUAGGGGUGAAACUCCCCAACGUCUUCCUUCUCUUUUCACCCACGGCGGCAGCGGCGGCGGCUUGGGUUCUCGCCGGCAGGGAAAGGUGAAGAUUCAUAGCGGCUCUUGACCGAAACCACUUCCCAUGGUGGUGAAUCUUCAUCCAACACGAGUUACCUGGAUUCCUAAGCAAGAUGACUAAGUUUAUCACAAAUUAUGGUUCAAAGGGUUAGGUAAGGAACACUAUCUCUUUUUUUACUACGGUUUGGAUGAAAGUAUUACUGAAUUGAUUGAAAUCUAAUUAUUGAAAAUCCGUUAAAUUUACCAUGAAUAAACCGAUUUAAACUUGUUGUGAUGAAUCAUCUUCAAUCUUAGCUGAAUAUGGAU